AUGGCCUCGGGAGGGGGCGCGGCCUUCGAGGAGCUGCCGCACGACGGCACGUGUGACGAGUGCGAACCCGACGAGGCCCCGGGGGCCGAGGAAGUGUGCCGAGAGUGCGCCUUCUGCUACUGCCGCCGCCACGCCGAGGCGCACGGGCAGAAGUUCCCCAGCCACCACCUGACCCCGUACGUCCACGGCGCUGCCCAGGCCUGGACCGCCGGGGCCCCGGGGCGGGGCGACGCGAAGGAAGAAGCCGGGGCCAAGGUGGAGAAUGAGCGGGAUCUAGAGAGCGAGGUGGGGGAGGAGAGCGAGUCCGAGGAAGACAGUGAAUCGGAAGAAGAGAGCGAGACGGAGGAGGAGAGUGAGGAGGAGAGCGAUGAGGAGAGUGAAGAGGACAGUGAGGAGGAGAUGGAGGACGAGCAAGAGAGCGAAGCAGAGGAAGACAACCAAGAAGGAGAAUCCGAGGCGGAGGGAGAAACGGAGGCAGAAAGUGAGUUUGACCCAGAAAUAGAGAUGGAAGCGGAGAGAGUGGCCAAGAGGAAGUGUCCGGACCAUGGGCUCGAUUUGAGCACCUAUUGCCAGGAAGAUAAGCAGCUCAUCUGUGUCCUGUGCCCUGUCAUUGGGACUCACCAGGGCCACCAGCUCUCCACCCUCGACGAGGCCUUCGAAGAACUAAGAAGCAAAGACUCAGGCGGACUAAAGGCAGCUAUGAUAGAGUUGGUGGAAAGGUUGAAGUUCAAGAGCUCAGAUCCUAAGGCAGUGAAGAGCAAGAGGAUGUAUACAGAUUACACUGAGUGGCUUCUGUGCAUGAUGAUAAUACAGGUAACCCGGGACCAGAUGAAGGUGUUCAUACAGCAGGAAUUUAAGAAAGUUCAGAAAGUGAUUGCUGAUGAGGAGCAGAAGGCCCUUCAUCUGGUGGACAUCCAGGAAGCAAUGGCCACUGCUCAUGUGACUGAGAUACUGGCAGACAUCCAGUCCCACAUGGACAGGUUGAUGACUCAGAUGGCCCAAGCCAAGGAACAACUUGAUACCUCUAAUGAAUCAGCUGAGCCAAAGGCAGAGGGUGACGAGGAAGGACCCAGUGGGCAAGAAGAGCCGUAGGAUUAGCCACCAGAGUCCUUCAUCCCAGUGGGACUCCAGGCACCGUCAGCAAUCAGACUGACAUCAUAUCAGCAACAACACAAUGGCAAGUAUGUGAGCGGUGCCAGUGAAGAAGAGGACACAUGAAGGCUUGCCAUCCCCCGUGGAAACUCAUCCCUUCCCCCCCGUGUGUAUGUGAUGGCGUGUAUGUAGCAGCUUCUGAGUUCUGUGAAAGGUGCCCACCAACAACCGUACUUCCACCGGAUACAUCCCCAGGUCCACAACAGGCACAGAUCUCUCCAAGGGAUGACCGACUUUAUUGUUACUGACUAUGCUUUUCAUUCUCUCGUCAUGGUAGGUCAAGAAAAAGUGACCCUAUGAUCAACCAGGAACAGUUAAUUAAGAAGCGUCCUUCAGGUAGUCCUUCAAUGGCUGCUUUGAACUUACUCAGGAAAGCCAGCCCCCGUGAUAUUGUAUACUCAGACAGCAUCGCUUUAGCUGGAAGGUUCUGGAGUAAUCUUGAAGGGCAGUCAGAAUUUUUUUUCCUACCUGCUACUAAAACCCCACUUUAUUUAUAUUGCAGCAUGGAGCAGUGGGGAGCACAGUAGGGCUCUGUAGAUAGUCUCUAAAAGUCCAGUUAUACAUUUGUGAAAAUGUGGCUCCACGAAGUAAGAUGGGUGGCGUGAAGACAGGGUGGGAGAAGGAGUUAAAAGUUCGAAAUACAGGGAUAUUUUUAGUACAUGAGGUUAUCUGGCACUUCAGAUCCAUAAUUCAGUGCUGUGGAAAUGAAAAAAAUGAUUGAAGAGGUAGAAAGGAAAUGACUUAAAAAAAAAAAAAAAAAGGACCAAAGAGAUCUGAUUAAAAGUUGAAAUCAGUAUUUCUGAAACUCAAAUUGCCUGAAUUUCCAAAAUAGUCACUAAAGGAUCUGAUGGAACCUGAACAAUUUGGGUGAAUUCUGCCGGUUUUCUGGGUCUUGUUACAAUGUGAAGGCUGGGAUGUGUAUUACCAAGUGGGAAUUUUCAGUGUAUGUUUUUGUCACCCCCGCUCUAGCCCCCUUGGCCUCAUUUGGCUGAAAUGCAGUAUAGGGAGAGUCCUCGUCACUCUGCUCUGCUGAAUCAAGCCCUGUCUCCCAGCAGGCAUACCCACCUCUUCCUCCAGCUGGAACCCCUCUUCCCAUGGCACCCACCGCAGGCCUUCAGCCCUGCCCGCACACUCAGGCUCUCCCCUUUUAAGUACCAUGAGCAGAGACACGCCCCGGUGGGACGUGCAGCCUUUCCCCUCCCAAGUCCCAUUUCCUUACAACCAAGUUUUCUCCUCCCAAGUAAGAGUGAUUACCAGGGAAUACAAACCUGCAAGUUAAAAAGCCUGCAUUUUCUGAAAACAUCAGUUUUACUUAACUGGUUUGGAGUCAAGGGAUAACCUUAUUUUUAGAUAAAACAGCUACAUCAUGAAAUCAAGUGUUCAUACACAAAGUUGAGAGAAAACACUUCACACUUCACAGGGAAUUCGUAUUUACUGGUGGGGUGCAUGUUCCCUCUCGUCUGCCUCUAGUGGUGUUUUGGGGUUCACUUCUGAGAAGUACAGUUGGCACUUAUCCAGGCAGCUGACCGAGGGCCUGGACCUCUAGUCGCCUCUGACAUGGAAUUGAAGGCGCCUGCACUGGGAGGAGUUCCUGUCUUCCUGCCUGCCUGCGACCCCUGUACCUGUCACAGAGCGUUAGGGCCAGCUGGCAUGUGCACGCGUGGUUUUGAGGCAGAAACCGUACUUACUGCAGGAACCCUAUUUAUAUCAUAGUCCAGUCCUGGGCUAGCUAUGAAAUUAUUUCUUUGAGGCCAGGAAGCUACCGGGCAUAUGUGCUUCUGGGUUAAGAUUAUUCUAGCUCACUAAAUAUGUUAAGAUGUCAGGACUGAGAGUACUUUGGGCUGU
Molecule: RNA transcript, 2997 nt
Organism: Mustela erminea (ermine)
Lineage: Eukaryota; Metazoa; Chordata; Mammalia; Carnivora; Mustelidae
Gene: TRIM44
Gene name: tripartite motif containing 44
Exons: 7
Source: RefSeq, a predicted model, not a curated record